Molecule: ribosomal RNA, 266 nt
Filed under: uncultured bacterium
Lineage: Bacteria
Description: partial 16S ribosomal RNA
Rfam family: Bacterial small subunit ribosomal RNA
Source: RNAcentral
GUCCACGCCCUAAACGAUGUCAACUAGUUGUUCGGUGAGGAGACUCAUUGAGUAACGCAGCUAACGCGUGAAGUUGACCGCCUGGGGAGUACGGCCGCAAGGUUAAAACUCAAAGGAAUUGACGGGGACCCGCACAAGCGGUGGAUGAUGUGGAUUAAUUCGAUGCAACGCGAAAAACCUUACCUACCCUUGACAUGUCAGGAAUCCUUGAGAGAUUGAGGAGUGCCCGAAAGGGAGCCUGAACACAGGUGCUGCAUGGCUGUCGU